Molecule: ribosomal RNA, 149 nt
Filed under: uncultured fungus
Lineage: Eukaryota; Fungi
Description: 5.8S ribosomal RNA
Rfam family: 5.8S ribosomal RNA
About the family: 5.8S ribosomal RNA (5.8S rRNA) is a component of the large subunit of the eukaryotic ribosome.
Source: RNAcentral
CAACUUUUAACAAUGGAUCUCUUGGCUCUUGCAUCGAUGAAGAACGCAGUAAAGUGCGAAAUGUAGUGCGAUUUGCAUGAAUCCGUGAGUCAUCUAAUUUUCGAACGCAUCUUGCGCCUAGCAAUAGGCAUGUCUGUUUGGGUACCGCA